CCCUAGCCCCGAUAAAGGCGGCAUCCUUUUUUGCCUUUCUUUAAGGCGAAAAAGAUACAGCGGAUAGCGGGAAUAGCU
RNAcentral lists this small RNA (78 nucleotides) under Flavobacterium sp. TAB 87. RNAcentral describes it as "Flavo-1 RNA". It matches the Rfam family "Flavo-1 RNA". Lineage: Bacteria; Pseudomonadati; Bacteroidota; Flavobacteriia; Flavobacteriales; Flavobacteriaceae. The record is from Rfam by way of RNAcentral.